UGGGGAAUAUUGGACAAUCGGCGAAAGCCUGAUCCAGCCAUGCCGCGUGUGUGAAGAAGGUCUUCGGAUUGUAAAGCACUUUAAGUUGGGAGGAAGGGCAUUAACCUAAUACGUUAGUGUUUUGACGUUACCGACAGAAUAAGCACCGGCUAACUCUGUGCCAGCAGCCGCGGUAAUACAGAGGGUGCAAGCGUUAAUCGGAAUUACUGGGCGUAAAGCGCGCGUAGGUGGUUUGUUAAGUUGGAUGUGAAAUCCCCGGGCUCAACCUGGGAACUGCAUUCAAAACUGACUGACUAGAGUAUGGUAGAGGGUGGUGGAAUUUCCUGUGUAGCGGUGAAAUGCGUAGAUAUAGGAAGGAACACCAGUGGCGAAGGCGACCACCUGGACUAAUACUGACACUGAGGUGCGAAAGCGUGGGGAGCAAACA
Molecule: ribosomal RNA, 427 nt
Filed under: uncultured bacterium
Lineage: Bacteria
Description: partial 16S ribosomal RNA
Rfam family: Bacterial small subunit ribosomal RNA
Source: RNAcentral